AGUUAAAAACUUAAAGAAAGUAUUAUGUUUUGAAAGCAUAAUAAAGAAGUUUAAUUCUUCUAUUAACUU
This 69-nucleotide transfer RNA is filed under the name Balta jinlinorum. RNAcentral describes it as "tRNA-Ser". The record is from RNAcentral. Lineage: Eukaryota; Metazoa; Arthropoda; Insecta; Blattodea; Pseudophyllodromiidae.